RNAcentral lists this ribosomal RNA (497 nucleotides) under uncultured bacterium. RNAcentral's name for it is "partial 16S ribosomal RNA". It matches the Rfam family "Bacterial small subunit ribosomal RNA", at positions 28 to 507 of the family's 1533-position model. The record is from RNAcentral.
GAUGAACGCUGGCGGCGUGCCUAAUACAUGCAAGUCGAGCGAACGGACGAGAAGCUUUCUUCUCUGAUGUUAGCGGCGGACGGGUGAGUAACACGUGGAUAACCUACCUAUAAGACUGGGAUAACUUCGGGAAACCGGAGCUAAUACCGGUUAAUAUUUUGAACCGCAUGGUUCAAAAGUGAAAGACGGUCUUGCUGUCACUUAUAGAUGUAUCCUCGCUGCAUUAGCUAGUUGGUAAGGUAACGGCUUACCAAGGCAACGAUGCAUAGCCGACCUGAGAGGAUGAUCGGCCACACUGGAACUGAGACACGGUCCAGACUCCUACGGGAGGCAGCAGUAGGGAAUCUUCCGCAAUGGGCGAAAGCCUGACGGAGCAACGCCGCGUGAGUGAUGAAGGUCUUCGGAUCGUAAAACUCUGUUAUUAGGGAAGAACAUAUGUGUAAGUAACUGUGCACAUCUUGACGGUACCUAAACAGAAAGCCACGGCUAACUACGUG